Molecule: unclassified non-coding RNA, 350 nt
Filed under: Basidiomycota sp.
Lineage: Eukaryota; Fungi; Basidiomycota
Description: partial contains small subunit ribosomal RNA, internal transcribed spacer 1, and 5.8S ribosomal RNA
Rfam family: Eukaryotic small subunit ribosomal RNA (bases 1-47)
Source: RNAcentral
AAAGUCGUAACAAGGUUUCCGUAGGUGAACCUGCGGAAGGAUCAUUAACACAUGAAUCUAAACAAUCAUGUUUUAUUAAAUUAAACCUAAACUAAACAAAACUCUGUGAACCGUAACAUAGGGGUGUGAAGAACACCCCACAACCCAAUCUCAUUUCAUAUUUAAUUAAUGAUGAGAAUUUUUCUAACAAAUAAACCCAAACUAACCCUAAUUUAACGUAACGCAGGAGAUAUACAUUCUUUAUCGAUGGUAUAUUGAUGCGACUAAACAAUCACUUCUAUAUCCUAACGGGUUAGAUUUUAAUUAAAUAAACAAAAAUACAACUCUUAACAAUGGAUAUCUUGGCUCUC